Molecule: long non-coding RNA, 2143 nt
Organism: Oncorhynchus gorbuscha (pink salmon)
Lineage: Eukaryota; Metazoa; Chordata; Actinopteri; Salmoniformes; Salmonidae
Exons: 3
Source: RefSeq, a predicted model, not a curated record
UGCGAGUGUACAACAACUUCACCUUUUGACCUUCACAUGGAAACAGAACCACUGUUGUCAUGGCAACAAGCCCCAGCUGACAAAGUUACAGGGCUGCAUCUCAGUACUCAGUCCAAUACUGGCUGCAUCUCAGUACUCAGUCCAAUACUGGCUGCAUCUCAGUACUCAGUCCAAUACUGGCUGUGUCUCAGUACUCAGUCCAAUACCGGCUGCAUCUCAGUACUCAGUCCAAUACUGGCUGUGUCUCAGUACUCAGUCCAAUACUGGCUGCGUCUCAGUACUCAGUCCAAUACCGGCUGCAUCUCAGUACUCAGUCCAAUACUGGCUGCGUCUCAGUACUCAAUCCAAUACUGGCUGUGUCUCAGUACUCAGUCCAAUACUGGCUGUGUCUCAGUACUCAGUCCAAUACUGGCUGUGUCUCAGUACUCAGUCCAAUACUGGCUGCGCUCCAGAUAAAGUGGGGAGGUAAGGAAGCCUUUCAAGACAUGAGAUGUAGUCCGGGACUAUAUUUUAUAAUGAGAUAUAAGGCACAAACAUAUCCCCUUGUGUUGGUUUAUUAAGAGAACGUGUGUGUGUAUUAUCAGCAGGAUAAAGGUUGUUUAUUAAGAGAACGUGUGUCAGCAGGAUAAAGGUUGUUUAUUAAGAGAACGUGUGUGUAUUAUCAGCAGGAUAAAGGUUGUUUAUUAAGAGAACGUGUGUGUAGUAUCAGCAGGAUAAAGGUUGUUUAUUAAGAGAACGUGUGUGUAGUAUCAGCAGGAUAAAGGUUGUUUAUUAAGAGAACGUGUGUCAGCAGGAUAAAGGUUGUUUAUUAAGAGAACGUGUGUGUAUUAUCAGCAGGAUAAAGGUUGUUUAUUAAGAGAACGUGUGUGUAGUAUCAGCAGGAUAAAGGUUGUUUAUUAAGAGAACGUGUGUCAGCAGGAUAAAGGUUGUUUAUUAAGAGAACGUGUGUGUAUUAUCAGCAGGAUAUUAAGAGAACGUGUGUGUAGUAUCAGCAGGAUAAAGGUUGUUUAUUAAGACAACGUGUGUGUAGUAUCAGCAGGAUAAAGGUUGUUUAUUAAGAGAACGUGUGUCAGCAGGAUAAAGGUUGUUUAUUAAGAGAACGUGUGUGUAUUAUCAGCAGGAUAAAGGUUGUUUAUUAAGAGAACGUGUGUGUAGUAUCAGCAGGAUAAAGGUUGUUUAUUAAGACAACGUGUGUGUAGUAUCAGCAGGAUAAAGGUUGUUUAUUAAGAGAACGUGUGUGUAUUAUCAGCAGGAUAAAGGUUGUUUAUUAAGAGAACGUGUGUGUAGUAUCAGCAGGAUAAAGGUUGUUUAUUAAGAGAACGUGUGUGUAGUAUCAGCAGGAUAAAGGUUGUUUAUUAAGAGAACGUGUGUGUAUUAUCAGCUGGAUAAAGGUUGUUUAUUAAGACAACGUGUGUGUGUAGUAUCAGCAGGAUAAAGGUUGUUUAUUAAGAGAACGUGUGUGUAGUAUCAGCAGGAUAAAGGUUGUAUGGUGUGAGUGUAGCACAUGGGGGAUGUGGGAAACUUACUCCUCAGCCUGAAGUGUCACCUCUUGUGCAGCCGAGUUGUUAACGCUUCGAUGGCGCCGACUGGAAAGACGCUUCGGGAGGGUGGUCACGUGUGCUAGCGAAGCAGAUGUCCUGGGUUCGAGCGUCCGUGUGAGCCCGAUCAGGAGGAAGAGGUACUCGCUGAGUCAGCAGAGUGACGUCAGUUAUCAGAAUGCUGCUGUUACCUUGGUUUACCUCUAUGAACUGAACUGGAAAAGACACUGAAUCAACUGUCAAAGGACUUCUGGCCUUUUCUCUGCUUAAAGCACAUGAUAUCAUAAUGUCUGGUAUGUGAAUAUUGAAUAAGAUAUUAUUUCAGAAAAUGUCAAGGUACAUGUAUAUAAGAAUAUUAUAUACUUUGACGUGUCCAUCUAUUUAAAUAUUUUAACAACAGUGAACACUAACCUGGUGUUUGUUGGUUGAAGCAAAAAUAUUAACUUACUAAUUUAAUCUUGGUUUCUCAAAGAAAACAUCCUAUUUCUACAUUGUGACUCUCAGUAAUAAUGUAAUUUAAGGUCAGAUUUGAUCAUCAUUCGUGUACAUUCUAUAUUCAUUUGUAUAUUCAGCUUUAUGGUUUUAAUAAAAAAUAUUGUCUUCUA